This 451-nucleotide ribosomal RNA is filed under the name uncultured eukaryote. RNAcentral's name for it is "bacterial SSU rRNA". It matches the Rfam family "Eukaryotic small subunit ribosomal RNA", at positions 360 to 811 of the family's 1831-position model. The record is from RNAcentral.
UAACGGGGAAUCAGGGUUCGAUUCCGGAGAGGGAGCCCGAGAAACGGCUACCACUUCCAAGGAAGGCAGCAGGCGCGCAACUUACCCUAAUCUCGAUUCGAGGAGGUAGUGACAAGAAAUACCGAUGCGGGACCCUACGGGUGCCGCGUUCGGAAUGAGUACGAUUCGAACCACCUAACGAGGAACGAUCGGAGGGCAAGUCUGGUGCCAGCAGCCGCGGUAAUUCCAGCUCCAAUAGCGUACGUUAAAGUUGCUGCAGUUAAAAAGCUCGUAGUUGAACGUUCGGGUUCCGCGGGACGGGGCCGCCCCGCGAGGGACGGCGCCGCCCCGGGGCUCGUGAUAUCUCAUCUCGCCGCCCGUCGCGAGGCGGACGGAGGGAUGGAUGAGGUUACCUGGAAAAAAAUCGGGGCGAUCUAGGCGGGCGAACCUCGCCAACGAACGAUCGGACAUG